UGACGGAAACCGUACUGUCGGUCAGGA
Molecule: small RNA, 27 nt
Filed under: Bombyx mori (domestic silkworm)
Lineage: Eukaryota; Metazoa; Arthropoda; Insecta; Lepidoptera; Bombycidae
Description: ovarian small RNA-31756
Source: RNAcentral